This 84-nucleotide transfer RNA is filed under the name Bacteroidota bacterium. RNAcentral describes it as "Bacteroidetes bacterium (sediment metagenome) tRNA-OTHER". It matches the Rfam family "tRNA". Rfam says of the family: Transfer RNA (tRNA) molecules are approximately 80 nucleotides in length. Their secondary structure includes four short double-helical elements and three loops (D, anti-codon, and T loops). The record is from RNAcentral. Lineage: Bacteria; Pseudomonadati; Bacteroidota.
GCACAGGUAGCAUAAUGGAAAAUGCACCGCUGGGUUUAAAUAAAUUCAGGGGAGAUGAUGCAGGUUCGAAUCCUGCCUUGUGCA